GCUCGCUUUGGCUGCCAUAAACUAAAACUGGAAUGAUAUAGAGAAGAUUAGCAUGGCCCCUGCACAAGGAUGGCAGGCAAAUUUGUGAAGCGUUCAGCAUUUUU
This is a small nuclear RNA of Meriones unguiculatus (Mongolian gerbil), 104 nucleotides long. NCBI's taxonomy places the organism in Eukaryota, Metazoa, Chordata, Mammalia, Rodentia, Muridae. The record is from Ensembl.